AAAUUGAAGAGUUUGAUCAUGGCUCAGAUUGAACGCUGGCGGCAGGCCUAACACAUGCAAGUCGAACGGUAGCACAGAGAGCUUGCUCUCGGGUGACGAGUGGCGGACGGGUGAGUAAUGUCUGGGAAACUGCCUGAUGGAGGGGGAUAACUACUGGAAACGGUGGCUAAUACCGCAUAACGUCGCAAGACCAAAGAGGGGGACCUUCGGGCCUCUUGCCAUCAGAUGUGCCCAGAUGGGAUUAGCUUGUUGGUGAGGUAACGGCUCACCAAGGCGACGAUCCCUAGCUGGUCUGAGAGGAUGACCAGCCACACUGGAACUGAGACACGGUCCAGACUCCUACGGGAGGC
RNAcentral lists this ribosomal RNA (350 nucleotides) under Salmonella enterica. RNAcentral's name for it is "bacterial SSU rRNA". It matches the Rfam family "Bacterial small subunit ribosomal RNA", at positions 1 to 349 of the family's 1533-position model. Lineage: Bacteria; Pseudomonadati; Pseudomonadota; Gammaproteobacteria; Enterobacterales; Enterobacteriaceae. The record is from RNAcentral.